Molecule: ribosomal RNA, 476 nt
Filed under: uncultured bacterium
Lineage: Bacteria
Description: partial 16S ribosomal RNA
Rfam family: Bacterial small subunit ribosomal RNA
Source: RNAcentral
UGGGGAAUAUUGCACAAUGGGCGCAAGCCUGAUGCAGCAACGCCGCGUGAGGGACGACGGCCUUCGGGUUGUAAACCUCUUUUAGUAGGGAAGAAGCGAAAGUGACGGUACCUGCAGAAAAAGCACCGGCUAACUACGUGCCAGCAGCCGCGGUAAUACGUAGGGUGCGAGCGUUGUCCGGAAUUAUUGGGCGUAAAGAGCUCGUAGGCGGUCUGUCGCGUCUGCUGUGAAAACCCGAGGCUCAACCUCGGGCCUGCAGUGGGUACGGGCAGACUAGAGUGCGGUAGGGGAGAAUGGAAUUCCUGGUGUAGCGGCGGAAUGCGCAGAUAUCAGGAGGAACACCGAUGGCGAAGGCAGUUCUCUGGGCCGUAACUGACGCUGAGGAGCGAAAGCGUGGGGAGCGAACAGGAUUAGAUACCCUGGUAGUCCACGCCGUAAACGUUGGGCGCUAGAUGUGGGGCACCAUUCCACGGUUU